Molecule: unclassified non-coding RNA, 148 nt
Organism: Pongo abelii (Sumatran orangutan)
Lineage: Eukaryota; Metazoa; Chordata; Mammalia; Primates; Hominidae
Rfam family: Metazoan signal recognition particle RNA
About the family: The signal recognition particle (SRP) is a universally conserved ribonucleoprotein. It is involved in the co-translational targeting of proteins to membranes.
Source: Ensembl
GCUGGGCAUGGUGGUGCAUGCCUGUAAUCCCACCUACUCGGGAGGCUGAGGCAGAAGAAUCACUUGAACUUGGGAGGCAGAGGUUGCAGUGAGCUGAGAUCACACCACUGCACUCCAGCCUGGGUGACAGAGUGAGACUCUGUCUCAA